This 621-nucleotide ribosomal RNA is filed under the name Dothideomycetes sp. genotype 720 JMUR-2016. RNAcentral's name for it is "eukaryotic LSU rRNA". The stretch from base 76 to 621 matches the Rfam family "Eukaryotic large subunit ribosomal RNA", at positions 1 to 551 of the family's 3401-position model. The record is from RNAcentral. Lineage: Eukaryota; Fungi; Ascomycota; Dothideomycetes.
GUGAACGGCUUCGAGUGCAGCAGAAUAGCGGCUCGAGGACCUCCCGCGGGCGUCCACAAGGACAACCCCCAAGUUUGACCUCGGAUCAGGUAGGGAUACCCGCUGAACUUAAGCAUAUCAAUAAGCGGAGGAAAAGAAACCAACAGGGAUUGCCCCAGUAACGGCGAGUGAAGCGGCAAGAGCUCAAAUUUGAAAUCUGGCCCUCUCAGGGUCCGAGUUGUAAUUUGUAGAGGGCGCUUUGGCGUCGGCUACGGCCUAAGUUCCUUGGAACAGGACGUCACAGAGGGUGAGAACCCCGUACGUGGCCGCUGGCCUUCGCCGUGUAAAGCCCCUUCGACGAGUCGAGUUGUUUGGGAAUGCAGCUCUAAAUGGGAGGUAAAUUUCUUCUAAAGCUAAAUACUGGCCAGAGACCGAUAGCGCACAAGUAGAGUGAUCGAAAGAUGAAAAGUACUUUGGAAAGAGAGUCAAAAAGCACGUGAAAUUGUUGAAAGGGAAGCGCUUGCAGCCAGACUUGCCUGUAGUUGCUCAUCCGGGCUCUCGCCCGGUGCACUCUUCUGCGGGCAGGCCAGCAUCAGUCCGGGCGGUCGGAUAAAGGUCCUGGGAAUGUAGCUCCCCUCGGGG